RNAcentral lists this transfer RNA (68 nucleotides) under Pessoaiella absita. RNAcentral's name for it is "tRNA-Ser". Lineage: Eukaryota; Metazoa; Arthropoda; Insecta; Psocodea; Philopteridae. The record is from RNAcentral.
GAGGAUAAAUGGUUCAAGUUUUGAUUUCUAAUCAAGUUCGCAAGUGGUUCAAUUCCACUUUAUUCUCU